Molecule: long non-coding RNA, 1925 nt
Filed under: Podarcis lilfordi (Lilford's wall lizard)
Lineage: Eukaryota; Metazoa; Chordata; Lepidosauria; Squamata; Lacertidae
Source: RNAcentral
UCAAUUAAUGCGUUCCUAUGGUCAAAAAAAGUCCAAUCAAAGCCAAAUUUGGUACAACAAUAGUUUAUUAACUGCUCUUUAAAGUCACACAUACUUUAAAGAGCAUAUCAAAAAUUGAAGGAACAAUAAAUUAAGUUUCUAAACAUGACAGAAAAACAUUUAAAAAUCAACAAAGUGUACUGUACAUACAUUUUCUAAGACUCUGGGGACCACUCGAAGAAGGUUCCUCUUCCACUCUUUGCUUCUUGCUGAGGAACCUGUCCAUGGUCUGCUGCUUCAUCCGCCUUUUCAGCAGCUCCCUGAGAGGCAACAUGACCGUCGUAUCAAAAGUGUUCGCUUGGUCAUGUGCCACGUGCUUGUUAGGGUGGUGCCGCUCUGCAAAAGCCUGCACCUCCUUCCACUUCUGGCAAAUGUCCCUCAGUUCUUUGGAGGACGGCCGUUCCUCAGUUGCUUCCUCCUCUUCCAGCGAGGCCUGCUCCUGCGCAACCUCUGACUGCAGUUCAACCAGCUCCUGGGUGGUCAGCUCGUGGUCGUGCUCCUCCACCAGCUCGCAGACGUCCUCCUCUGUGACCUCCAGGCCCAUGGUCCUCCCCAAGGCAACAAUGUCCUGCACCACUGUUGACUCUGGUGCAUCAGAGUCACUUGGUGCCACACAGUCCGGCCACAGGCUGCGCCAAGCGCAAUUCAAAUUUCUCUGGCUGAUCCCGUUCCAGGCCGUGGUGAUCAUCUUCAAGCAGGUGACGAUGUCGAAGUGGUCCUUCCAGAAUUCCCGCAGGGUGAUGGUGGUGCAAUCAGUCACCUCGAAGCAUCGCCUGAAAAGCUCCUUGGUGUAGAGUUUUUGAAAUUGGCGAUGACCUGCUGAUCCAUCGGCUGGAGCAGUGGCGUGGUGUUAGGCGGCAGGAACAUGAUGUUGAUGAAGCUGAACUCCUCCAACAAGUCCACCUCAAGGCCUUUAGGAUGAGCAGGAGCAUUGUCCAUCAGAAGCAAAGCCUUCAGCGGCAGGUCGUUGUCCAGCAGGUACUGUUUGACAGCAGGGCCAAAAGCAAGAUUGACCCAGUCCACAAACAGCACACGUGUGACCCAAGCCUUGCUGUUGGAUCGCCACAUGACACUCAGCCGCUCCUUGUCGACCUUGUGUUUCUUGAAGGCCCGUGGGUUCUCCGAGUGGUACACCAGCAGGGGCUUGAUCUUCAGAUCGCCGCUUGCGUUGGCACAGAAGAGCAGGGUCAGACGGUCCUUCAUGGGCUUGUGGCCAGGCAACUUGGCCUCCUCCUGUGUGAGGAAAGUCCUUUUGGGCAUCCUCUUCCAAAACAGCCCGGUCUCGUCGCAGUUGAAGACCUGCUGUGGAACGUAGCCCUCUGUCUUCACAGCCUCCAGGAACUCCAAGGCAAAGUCUUCAGCCGCAGGAACAUCAGAACUGGCAGCCUCUCCAUGCCUGACCACGCUGUGGAUUCCAGAUCUUGCCUUGAACCGGUCAAACCAGCCUCUGCUUGCCUUGAAGACUUCUGGCUCGCCUGAGGUUCCUGGCUGUUCCCGGAUGAGGUCUGCGUGCAAGGCCUUGGCCUUCUCACAAAUGACGGCCUCAGUCACUGUGUCCCCUGCACGCUGCUUCUCUUCUAACCAGAUGAGCAGCAACUUCUCGACCUCCUCCAGAACAGCUGGGCGGUUCUUCACGAUCCUGGUGACUCCCUUGGCUGCAUCAGUCGCAAGGAUCUUCUCCCUCAUCUUCAGGAUGGUCCCGAUGGUCGAUGGGUUCCUGCCGUACUCCCUGGCGAGGUCCGUCACACGCAUUCCACCGUCGUGCUUCCAGAUGAUCUCCUUCUUCAUUUCCAGCGUCACCUUCUCCUUCUUCCUCUCGCCGGCCUCCGCAGCAGCAGCAGUCUUCUUGGGUCCCAUGGCAGCACAGCUCUUACCUUCGUAAACUC